This 468-nucleotide ribosomal RNA is filed under the name uncultured bacterium. RNAcentral's name for it is "partial 16S ribosomal RNA". It matches the Rfam family "Bacterial small subunit ribosomal RNA", at positions 28 to 507 of the family's 1533-position model. The record is from RNAcentral.
GACGAACGCUGGCGGCGUGCUUAACACAUGCAAGUCGAACGGUGAAGCUCCAGCUUGCUGGAGUGGAUCAGUGGCGAACGGGUGAGUAACACGUGAGCAACCUGCCCCUGACUCUGGAAUAAGCGCUGGAAACGGCGUCUAAUACUGGAUACGAGAAGGGCCCGCAUGGGCACUUUCUGGAAAGUUUUUCGGUUGGGGAUGGGCUCGCGGCCUAUCAGCUUGCUGGUGAGGUAAUGGCUCACCAAGGCGACGACGGGUAGCCGGCCUGAGAGGGCGACCGGCCACACUGGGACUGAGACACGGCCCAGACUCCUACGGGAGGCAGCAGUGGGGAAUAUUGCACAAUGGGCGAAAGCCUGAUGCAGCGACGCCGCAUGAGGGAUGACGGCCUUCGGGUUGUAAACCUCUUUCAGCAGGGAAGAAGCGAAAGUGACGGUACCUGCAGAAGAAGCACCGGCUAACUACGUG